UCUAAGUGCAGAACCUCUUCUCUCUCUUCUUCUUUCAUCUCUUUGGUUCUCCUUUUCUCUCUCUAGGCUAGGGAAAGCUUGAGGAAAUUGGGGUAGCAGCCUUGAGGCUUGCGGGUUCAAGUGGAGGAGGUGAACCGAGCAGAGAAUUCUUGUGGUUGGAGUUACUGUGCAACGUGGUUCAGCAUCAAAUUAAGACUUGAGACUUGGGGCCUUGGGUUAGUUAAUGCUGAAGGAAAUUUGGAGGAGUCCCAAAUUAAGAAGGGGCAGAUUUGAAGAUAUGGCUAGAUGAAGUUGUCGAAGUGGAGUCCCAGUUGAGAAAGCCUGGGAGUUGUGAGCUGUUAAAGCUGAGAGUAAUCGAAUUGAUCAUCAAGUCAAAGUAGCUGAACCUAAUGGAGUGGCAGAAUUAGGGCUCGGAUUGAUUGGAGCUGCUGAAGUGAAAAGUUCAACUCUGGGAGGUUGAAACUUGAGGUAAGGAACUGCAGCUGAGGAAGACCUUGAAGUAGAAUUUUUGGUUGUUGAAGCUGAGAACACCCUGGUAGAAUACCUAAUUAAGUUUGCUGCCAGGAAUUGAUAUUGGGCCAUUUGAAGCAGUGAGCAAGUUUGGUACAACCUUGAAGUGAAAGCCACUGCCUUGACAAACUGGGCACCUGAAUUGAAGAAGCUUAGUGGAGCUUCUUUGACAAUUCGAGCUACAACAAAUCUGGUGGAGCCUGGAAAUUAGCAAGCUAUGAAAGGGAAGAUGAAGUGCUGAAAUUUCAGCAAGAAUUCAGCAUGAUGCAGAAUUCAUUGUGAGCUGAAAUCAAGCCAAUUGGAUAAGGAAGUAAGGCUGCAGCUGAGGUGAAGUUGCUAUCCUGGUGAAAUCUGGGUACCCACAUUAAGAAGGAAAUCUAGUGAAGCCUCUAAUUCAGUGAGCUGUGAAAAAGAGCUCGAAUUUAAGGUCGGCGACGCACUAAUUACGGUAGAAGCCGUUUAGGCUUUAUUUGCGUUAGGUCACGUGAGAUCAUCAUUGACACAGUUCGAGACGUGGAUUCGAGUUAGUUGACAUCCCUACAGGUGGGUGGUGCUAUCCGAAAUCUUUGAAUCCCCCUUUAUGUCUAUGAUAUUUCAUUGAGCAUAUUUAUAUAUGAAUUACUUGUAUUCAUGCAUUAUAGGGUACUGGCAUUAUGCAAGUGAUAAUUGAAUAUUUGAAUUUCUAUCAAUAUUGAGAACCUAUGAACAUUAGUAUGUGGACAUAGAACCCUAUGAAUGCAUGGACUAUAACAAUAGUGAACUUGGUGAUAUCAUGACUAGAGAUUUGGUUAGCAUCAAACAUAAAACCAUGAAACUAGCAUAAAGGGCUAGUUAGAGUAAAGUGUUGCAUUGUCUUUCAUUGGAUCUUCUAAAGGAAGAUCAGAUCAUACUCACAUCAGUUUUAUGUUCAAGGAAGGUCGCUCCUCCUUGAACGAUGAGCUCUGGAGUAGUCAUCUUAACUGGACCAGGAGCUAGCGUCUCCCCUAGUUGACAGUUUAGUCGGGAUGUAGCUUGCGUCUCCCCGAUAUUUGGGAUAUCGUCGGUGAGUUAUUGUUAACCAAAAGGGUUAACCAGUUUGAUUGGGUAACAUCAUUAAAAGCAUGCAUGCAUAUUUAUCAGUUAUUAUAUAUUGUUCCUUUCAGCUUUGUACAGGCAUUGUAGUAGUUACAUGUUAUAGUUGGUUACUAUCUA
Long non-coding RNA from Ananas comosus (pineapple), 1701 nucleotides. RefSeq lists it as uncharacterized. The record is from RefSeq and is a predicted model, not a curated record. The transcript has 6 exons. NCBI's taxonomy places the organism in Eukaryota, Viridiplantae, Streptophyta, Magnoliopsida, Poales, Bromeliaceae.